GCACAGAUAGCUGACAUCAACUUCCGUCAGGCAGCUCCUGGAGAUCGAACCUUUCGAUUGUAACUGGGACAAUUUGCAUAGUGAUUCCCUUUCAGAGCUUUCCCGGGUCCAUAACUAGCCCAGGCAGCUAUUCAAAUGCAAGUUGCAUCCCCCAAAUGCAAGGCUGGCCUGACCAAAAAGAGCCACACGGCGCCGGGAGAGGAGAGACUCGCGCCACGGUUCUCAUCCUUCUCUUUUCUCCUUCCUUCUCCCUUUCUCUUCUCCGGUUCCUGAUUUAGCUGGGAGCUAUUUAUUUCUGACUACAAAUGUGUGUGCGCGAGCCAGAGAGAGAGGGAGGGAACUGAUCUUUGGACUUAAAGAUGGAGACGAAGGAGCCGGAGGGAAUUUGGGUCUGUGUGUCUGGCUCAGACCCUAGGCGCUGAGGGGGGCCGUUGGGCAUCAAGCCAAGGGUCUUUCUUCUCGGCGCCCCUUAUUCUGCGACCUGGCAGGAAUCCGUGGGCCGAAGAGCGCCCCGGCUGAUCCGCCUGCCCCGGGCCGGGCUACAAGGAAAGUCUUGGAGCAGGGGGCCGUCCCGUCCCUGUCUUUAAAAUGAGCGCAAUAAAAGGGGGCAAAUCCUCGAACGCGAACCUGAUCGCAUGUCACAGAAGCAACUUGCCAUGAAAUCCGCUAAUGCGCCGCGACUCGCCCACCAGGGUUCCGUGCAGCAGAACCCCCAAGAGGACUGGCAGUGGGGCGUGAGGGGGAGCUAAACCUGCAGUUCAGGCCGGACACUUCCUCAGCAAAGCAUUGGAGGCCUGCGAGCCGGGCAUGGCGCACUGCUGUCCUGCCUACAUACAGAUACAAGCCCACACGUGUCAGGCCUGAAAAAGACACCGGACCGGGAGGAAAACUCAGGAACAGCUAUUCGGGAGCUCCUGGAGACCCUCCCGCCUGGACCCUUGGAACCUCAGAGAACCUCAGAGAAGACAGUCCCCUCCCCCUCUACUCCCCCACCCUCACCCUCCCCGCCCCCUCACAACAGCUGUGCUUUUGGGGCGCUCUGCUCGUGACAAUCCACAGGUCCCACGUCCCUGCCCAGCAUUGGCGCGUUAGAGAUCAGUCUGUGUACUCUCAGCUUUUCCUCCUAACCCCACUCCCGAGCCCUGGGUCACCGCAUUUAUGCCACAAGACCCCGAAAAGCUCCCAUGCACAAAAACUAAAGGACUCUAACAUGAUCCCUUGAGUAUCGGGCUAGUUCAGGAAGGAGCAAGCCGAGCAGGGUCUGGGGAAAAUACAACUGGACGCUUGGAGACUCCAUAAUCCUAUGCCUGAAAGGCUCUCAGGCCAGAGGGCAGGUGCACUUGCCCUGAGCCCCGGGUCCGAAACACGGGGGCUGGUUGUUGUGCCAGCCGGGAGGCGGAGGGAAGCAGAGGAGGUGGACAAGAAGCGGAAGGCCGAUCGGGUGGGAAGGGCAAGAAAAGAAGGUAAAGUAUCAGAAGGCAAGUGUGAGAGAUGAAGAGGGAAGGGAAAAGACUUGGGAGAAAGCAAGAAAAGGCCGGGGUCCAGCCCCAGCAGGCCCCAGGAGAGAGACACAGGCAAGGGGUGAGGAAACCAGAACACCAGCGUUUUAUUUUUAAAUCUUCUAGGUGUCUGCGGGUCAAAUAAAGACAAGGGCGGUAACGAUUAUUCUGUUAAAUCUAUGGUACUUGACUGCGCAAACACUAAUUGAUUAGACACCAAAAUGAUUUGUUUAAAGAGUUUUCCUCCCCAAGUGCAGCUGCUCUCAGGUCCAGGUCGGCGUUACCCGGCGAGACUGCGGAGGAGUUCGCCAAGUGGGCCAGGCGCCCCGCCGCCUAGCCCGCAAUCUGUGUAGGGUCGGGUGGCUGGUCCACGCUCAAUAGGCCUGAGGGUACAGGCUGGACGGCAUCCCGUGACUUCUGCUCUUAGGGACCACCUCAAAGGGAUUUUGCUACACCCGCCUCCUCUAAAUUGCACCGAGGAGGAGCCCCCUCUCUUCCCGCUCUCCUUUCCAGUCCCCAGCCUUGGAAGUCAACACCUGCCCGUGGUUAAUUCGGCGUACUGUCCCCCAAAAGUGGAAGCAUCGAAAGAACAGCAUUUCCGGCGGUCUAAAGACUGGAAAAUUCACCGCCCCGGAGGCGUGGGUAGGUUCCCUUUGUAAUAUUCUUCAACGUUGUAAAGUGACCAAGAAAGAAAAUCCGUGAAGGGUUGACGGUUGGCCAACUUCUCCAGAAUCGCGCCGGUUGCGACUAGCACAGUCCUGUGGCCAGAGAGUCACCUAGGAACCUGGACCCCCUCCUUCAUGCUCAGGACGUCAGGACACCCACUCUUCCUUCAACGCUCUUGGUUCGAAGCCUUGAAAAGCUCUCGCCAGAGUGGAUGACUGCCGGAACGGGAUUUCAACCCAGGUGACGCUGCCUCCAGUUCAGCUAGGGAACCUAGAAAGGGGAGCGGUUUGCUUCCUGCACCCAGGAGGUAACAGACACACCAGGAGUGGUCUGAUGUUCCAGGAUGGCCACUCAGGUGGCUCUUGGUAGGUCUGGAAUUUCUAGGGUUGGCAUGAGCUGACAGCCUUUCAGCAGAGUAUCCUCUCUUUGGGAUUUGGAGUUACGAGUAGAGUAAGUUGAAACAAAGAAAAGUGCGAAAAUGCCGAAUUUUUUAAAAUUCACGCGUGAAAACCGAAUUUAAGAAGGAAAAAGUAGGGGAGAAGUUAACGAAAAGGUGAAUAAAAACUAUAGACAAAAAGAUGAUCAAAGAUUGAAAAAGAAGGCCAGGAUAAUUGGUAACUUCCUUGUCCCAGAGUGAGGGUCACUAUUUUUUUUUCCUCAGUGUUGGAAAUUGAACCCAGGGCCUGGAACCUAGUAUCUUUCUAUAACUGAGCUACACCCUCAGCCCAGUAACUUGGUUUUUGUGUUUUAAAAAAUUAUUUUCAAUAGCAAAUCACCAAUCCAGUCCCUUCUAUGUUUCUUGAUAAUUCUAUUCUAAGCCAAUAGUAAUUUUCUGAAUGAAAUUUCUCCAGAGAUGGGAGGACUCCCGAGGAAGACAGGAGAGCCCAAUGGGAAGCACCCAGGAUCAAAUCCUUCACCCCCAGCGAUCAAGUGCUUUAUUGUAGUUAGAUAUCAAGGAAAUGGUUCCACACCAGCAGUUUAAUUCUAGACUGAAUGUAGUCAUCAGAAAUGAUAAUGAAUUCCAUUCUGAGGCUCUAGCCAAGGAGUGGGUCUUCCCCUGGGACCUUGGAGAUAUUUGCUCUGACACCCAGGAUUGCUGUUUGUGACACCAAAAAAUGAAAAGUACAUGUUUGAUGGCUCAGGGGGGUCUAGAAACAUUUAUUUGGAAUGGUCCUGAAGACUGGGAAAUAAUCCUGUAUUACACCUCUACUACUCACAAAGAAAAAUAAAGUAUUAACUUUGAAACCAA
Marmota monax (woodchuck) is the source of this 3414-nucleotide long non-coding RNA. RefSeq lists it as uncharacterized. The transcript is spliced from 4 exons. The record is from RefSeq and is a predicted model, not a curated record. Lineage: Eukaryota; Metazoa; Chordata; Mammalia; Rodentia; Sciuridae.